UCCCUGGCAGUCCAGUGGUUAGGACUUGGUACUUUUACUGCCAAGGCCCGGGUUCAAUCCCUGGUCAGGGAA
RNAcentral lists this transfer RNA (72 nucleotides) under Tursiops truncatus (common bottlenose dolphin). RNAcentral describes it as "tRNA-Lys (TTT) (tRNA-Lys-TTT-16-1)". It matches the Rfam family "tRNA". Rfam says of the family: Transfer RNA (tRNA) molecules are approximately 80 nucleotides in length. Their secondary structure includes four short double-helical elements and three loops (D, anti-codon, and T loops). Further hydrogen bonds mediate the characteristic L-shaped molecular structure. tRNAs have two regions of fundamental functional importance: the anti-codon, which is responsible for specific mRNA codon recognition, and the 3' end, to which the tRNAs corresponding amino acid is attached (by aminoacyl-tRNA synthetases). tRNAs cope with the degeneracy of the genetic code in two manners: having more than one tRNA (with a specific anti-codon) for a particular amino acid; and 'wobble' base-pairing, i.e. permitting non-standard base-pairing at the 3rd anti-codon position. The record is from Rfam by way of RNAcentral. Lineage: Eukaryota; Metazoa; Chordata; Mammalia; Artiodactyla; Delphinidae.